Daphnia pulicaria is the source of this 1098-nucleotide long non-coding RNA. RefSeq lists it as uncharacterized. The transcript is spliced from 3 exons. The record is from RefSeq and is a predicted model, not a curated record. Lineage: Eukaryota; Metazoa; Arthropoda; Branchiopoda; Diplostraca; Daphniidae.
AAACAAACAAGCCCGUUUUUUUUCUAUUCAUUGAUUCAUUUCGAUUUCAUGUUUCACUGGGACGUGGCAAGUGCUAAAAUCUUUUACAUCCUUCGCAGUAGUCAAAUUGUUACAAGCGUGUGACGAAAGUCGUGAGGUUUGUCUGCAGUUACUUCCUCAAUUUUAAACACAAACAAACAAUUAGCCUAUACGAACCCCAUUAUAGACUUCAAACGUUCUUUCACUUAAAAGUACUAAUUAAAGAAUAGAUCCGACAAUAGUUUCGUUUAUCUAUUUCGUGUAUGACCUACACAUUUUUCGUACACACGCAGGAAUAGGCGAAGGAGAGGUGCGGCAAAGGAGACACACGCUGCAAGUUCGAUGACUUGACACAUAACACGCAUUGAUGUAGUCUUUUUAAAAAUGCUGCCUUCUUUUUAAACACAGGGUAACAGAAUAUUUCGUGGCUGUUGUUAUUUUUUGUCUGGUAUUUUCGGAACAUUGAAGAAAGAAUAAUGGAAACCGUUGUUUUCAAACUCGUUAUCAGUUAUGUAGUAGAAAUUGUUAAAAUGAUUAUUAGAAAGCUCGCUGUUUCACUGCUGAGCGAGCACUCGAACGUGAAUGUGCCCUCAAUUUUCUCAAACUGAUUCUCAUUAAAACAUUAUCUGGUGCAUUCGCAUGCGAUUAUUUGCUAACUAAACUCUCUUCGCUCCAGAAGGUCAUGUAAAACAAAAAUGGAGAUGAAACUACCAAAACACCUUUUCGUUUCGAAAUGGAUUAAAUACUGAACCCGAUUUCACAUACAGAACCCGUUAUACAAGUACUUCAAAAUGCCUUCCCAUUAAGAACGAGAAUGAUCUUUGACGCCUUUUGUGGAAUUUGAAUGAUUGGAUGAGUUGGCGGAAAUCUGGCUGCAUGAUCCCUCUUCGCAAACGGCGGUGGGAGAAAGUCAAGCCCAUAUAUCUUGCAAUAUGAGUCAAGGGCCGGAGUCAAGAGAGGCUAACGGCAUGCAGCUGAGCAGUACCUUCAAGUGCUCGCGUACUAGCUACUGAAGCCCGUUGGAUCUGAAACCACGACAAUAUGACACUUCAGAUAAAAAUCCACAAUCUUGUUUUUACA